Molecule: ribosomal RNA, 620 nt
Filed under: uncultured Tomentella
Lineage: Eukaryota; Fungi; Basidiomycota; Agaricomycetes; Thelephorales; Thelephoraceae
Description: eukaryotic LSU rRNA
Rfam family: 5.8S ribosomal RNA (bases 210-364)
Source: RNAcentral
CGGACAUUACCGAACUGUCGACAUGAGCCGUUGCUGGUCCUCGAAAGGGGGCAUGUGCGUGCUCUGUUUACACAUCCACUCACACCUGUGCACUUUCUGUAGUUCUGUGGCGUCGGGGACUCUGUCCUCUCGCUGUGGUCCUACGUCUUUACACACACACCGUAAUACAGUCUCAUGGAAUGUAUGUCGCGUUUAACGCAAUACAAUACAACUUUCAGCAACGGAUCUCUUGGCUCUCGCAUCGAUGAUUCACGCUGCGAAAUGCGAUAAGUAAUGUGAAUUGCAGAAUUCAGUGAAUCAUCGAAUCUUUGAACGCACCUUGCGCCCUUUGGCUAUUCCGAAGGGCAUGCCUGUUUGAGUAUCAUGAACACCUCAACUCUCAUGGCCUGCCAUGAUGAGCUUGGAUAAUGGGGGUCUUGCUUUCCUAACCGUUGGCUCCUCUUAAACGAAUCAGCUUGCCAGUGUCGUUUGGCAUCACAGGUGUGAUAACUAUCUACGCCCGUGGUUCUCCACCAGGUAACCUUCAGCAAUGUUUGUUCGCUGGAGCUCACAGAAGUCUCUCCUCAGCCCAGACAGCUUUUGAACGUUUGAUCUCAAAUCAGGUAGGACUACCCGCUGAA